CUCAACAGAUCAAGGAGCUUUUCCUCUUCUUCUUGGCUGAGCUGGUUAGAAAUAAUUGCUGGAAGUGAAUUUCCAGCUCCCAAGUAGGCAUAUUUGAGGUGGCUGGGCAAUGGUUUCAGUUCUGGUGCAGUUGCUGUUUGCUGGUUUUCUAUCUGCUUGCUGUCUGAUUUGGGCUGUGAUUUGAGCAGAUUUUCUGGUGAGGUGGGCAAAUCACUCUCUGUCAAGUCUGUCUGCUCCAGUGAUUUGGUCUGUGAUUUGAGCAGAUUAUCUGGUGAGGUGGGCAAAUCACUGGGCAAAUCACACAUACCCAGCAACUUACAGCAGUCUGCUGUCCUCUCUGCUUCAGUGAUGUUGCUGUCCUCUCCUCCUUUCCUGCAAAGGCCAUCAUAAAGUAAAUUUUCUUGAUCAAAAUCAAAAAUUUCUUGACUUAAAUCAUCAAUAACAUCAAGGCCAUAAACAGGAGAAACAUCAUUGGGGAAUUUCAUGGCAUCAUAAACAUUAAACUUGAUAACUUCCCCUUCAAACUCCAUGGUUAAUGUGCCAUCAUGCACAUCAAUUUUGGUUCUUGCUGUACUUAAGAAUGGUCUCCCAAGUAAGAUAUCAGAGGUGAUUUUGCCCUUAUCCUCCUCCAUGUCAAUCACAUAAAAAUCUGCUGGAAAGACUAGUUGGUCAACUUGCACCAACACAUCUUCUAGCACUCCCUUGGGGUAGACAAUGGAUCGAUCAGCCAAUUGGAUCAUAAUGCUGGUGCCCUUGAGUGUACCUGCAUUCAACAAGUUAAAAAUAGACAGAGGCAUGACAUUAAUUGAAGCUCCAAGGUCACACAUGGCCUUCUUUAUUCCCACAUUGCCUAUUUUGCAUGAAACCGCAAACAUUCCUCUAUCCUUACAUUUGACUGGUAGUUUUCUUUGGAUGACAGCUGAAACACACUCCCCCACACUUACCUUUUCAUGUUUAGCAAGUUUCCUCCUAUUGGUGCAUAGCUCUUUGAGAAAUUUAGCAUACCUUGGUAUUUGUUUGAUAGCAUCAAGUAGAGGUAUGUUGAUUUCUACCUUGCGAAGUGUCUCCAAUAUCUCUUUUUUCUCUUUCUCCUUUUGGGACCUUGCAAAUCUCUUUGGGAAGGGAGGAGGUACCUUGAAUUUCUCCAUAGGUUGCUGUUUCUGCCUUUGACUUGAUUCUGCCUGGUCUGUUGAUUUGGGCAAAUCACUUUCUGCCUUCUCUGGAGAAUUGGGCAAAUCACUGCUGGACAGCUUAGUUUGCCCAGCGAUCGGGUCAGUUCCUCCGAGUGAAUUGGUCAAAUCACUGCCCUGAUCACUUUCUGGCAGAUUUUCUUCCAUGGUCUGUUUUUGCAAUUUUUCAGCCCUAUUGUCUUGCAAUUCCUUUCCACUCCUCAAUGUGAUGGCACUAACAUUUUGCCUUGGAUUUAUCUCAGUUUGGUAGGGUAAACAACAACUUUCCUGUGCUAGCAAUCUGGUUGUGCUGGAUUCUCCAGGGGGCUGGUCUGUUUCAGAAAUUUCAGCAGAUUUUGGUUCAGUUGGGGCACUUCCAGCAGUUGCUGGUUUAUGGACAGCAGCAGGGGAUGUAACAGUGGCUGAUUCAACACUUGCUGAUUUUUGGACAGCCGGUUCAGCAAUUGCUGGUGUAAUUGUGGAAGCUUCAGCAGUGGCAGGCGUGGCAGUGGAUGAAUUUGCUGGUGCAGCAACAAAAUCUGCAGGUGCAGAAAAAUCUGCUGGUUCAGUUGGGGCAAUUUCUGAGGUUGCUAAUUUUUGGACAGCAGGUGCUGUUUCUGCAGUGUAUAUUUCUGAUUCAGCUGGUNN
RNAcentral lists this long non-coding RNA (1817 nucleotides) under Manihot esculenta (cassava). Its description in RNAcentral is "long non-coding RNA (MESC_LNC000496)". The record is from RNAcentral. Lineage: Eukaryota; Viridiplantae; Streptophyta; Magnoliopsida; Malpighiales; Euphorbiaceae.